Lagenorhynchus albirostris (white-beaked dolphin) is the source of this 159-nucleotide long non-coding RNA. RefSeq lists it as uncharacterized. The record is from RefSeq and is a predicted model, not a curated record. The transcript has 3 exons. NCBI's taxonomy places the organism in Eukaryota, Metazoa, Chordata, Mammalia, Artiodactyla, Delphinidae.
CUGCAGAAGGGGCCAGAAGGGCCUUGCAUGGUAGACACGAUUACCUCAAUCUUACAAACUGGAAAAGGGAGUCUCAGAAUAGCCUCUGGUUGUCAUAUCUUGAAGACGGUAAUAUUUAUGAAGGCAGGAGCUAAAUUUACUUGAAUCAACACUGGAACC